UCCGGUUUGUCACCGGCAGUCCCAUUAGAGUGCUCAACUGAAUGUAGCAACUAAUGGCAAGGGUUGCGCUCGUUGCGGGACUUAACCCAACAUCUCACGACACGAGCUGACGACAGCCAUGCAGCACCUUCUCACUAGCUCUCCGAAGAGCACCCCGGCAUCUCUGCCAGCUUCUAGUGGAUUUAACCCAGGUAAGGUUCUGCGCGUUGCGUCGAAUUGAACCACAUGCUCCACCGCUUGUGCGGGCCCCCGUCAAUUCCUUUGAGUUUCAGCCUUGCGGCCGUACUCCCCAGGCGGGGCACUUACUGCGUUAGCGACGGCACCGGGAGGGUCGCUCCCCCCGACGCCUAGUGCCCAUCGUUUACGGCGUGGACUAC
RNAcentral lists this unclassified non-coding RNA (377 nucleotides) under uncultured bacterium. Its description in RNAcentral is "contains 16S-23S intergenic spacer region". The record is from RNAcentral.